GAUGAACGCUGGCGGCGUGCCUAAUACAUGCAAGUCGAGCGAACGGACGAGAAGCUUGCUUCUCUGAUGUUAGCGGCGGACGGGGGAGUAACACGUGGAUAACCUACCUAUAAGACUGGGAUAACUUCGGGAAACCGGAGCUAAUACCGGAUAAUAUUUUGAACCGCAUGGUUCAAAAGUGAAAGACGGUCUUGCUGUCACUUAUAGAUGGAUCCGCGCUGCAUUAGCUAGUUGGUAAGGUAACGGCUUACCAAGGCAACGAUGCAUAGCCGACCUGAGAGGGUGAUCGGCCACACUGGAACUGAGACACGGUCCAGACUCCUACGGGAGGCAGCAGUAGGGAAUCUUCCGCAAUGGGCGAAAGCCUGACGUAGCAACGCCGCGUGAGUGAUGAAGGUCUUCGGAUCGUAAAACUCUGUUAUUAGGGAAGAACAUAUGUGUAAGUAACUGUGCACAUCUUGACGGUACCUAAUCAGAAAGCCACGGCUAACUACGUG
Molecule: ribosomal RNA, 497 nt
Filed under: uncultured bacterium
Lineage: Bacteria
Description: partial 16S ribosomal RNA
Rfam family: Bacterial small subunit ribosomal RNA
Source: RNAcentral